Molecule: ribosomal RNA, 571 nt
Filed under: uncultured bacterium
Lineage: Bacteria
Description: bacterial SSU rRNA
Rfam family: Bacterial small subunit ribosomal RNA
Source: RNAcentral
UGCUACUGAGAUAAUACCUAGAGAAGUGGACGUACUCGCAGAAUAAGCAGCCAGGCUAACUCUGUGCCAGCAGCCGCGGUAAUACAGAGGGUGCAAGCGUUAAUCGGAUUUACUAGGGCGUAAAGCGCGCGUAGGCGGCUAAUUAAGUCAAAUGUGAAAUCCCCGAGCUUAACUUGGGAAUUGCAUUCGAUACUGGUUAGCUAGAGUGUGGGAGAGGAUGGUAGAAUUCCAGGUGUAGCGGUGAAAUACGUAGAGAUCUGGAGGAAUACCGAUGGCGAAGGCAGCCAUCUGGCCUAACACUGACGCUGAGGUGCGAAAGCAUGGGGAGCAAACAGGAUUAGAUACCCUGGUAGUCCAUGCCGUAAACGAUGUCUACUAGCCGUUGGGGCCUUUGAGGCUUUAGUGGCGCAGCUAACGCGAUAAGUAGACCGCCUGGGGAGUACGGUCGCAAGACUAAAACUCAAAUGAAUUGACGGUGUGCCGCACAAAGCGGUGGAGCAUGUGGUCUAUUCGAUGCAACGCGAAAAACUUACCUGGCCUUGACAUAGUAAGAACUUUCCAGAGAUGGCUU